Podarcis lilfordi (Lilford's wall lizard) is the source of this 66-nucleotide non-coding RNA. NCBI's taxonomy places the organism in Eukaryota, Metazoa, Chordata, Lepidosauria, Squamata, Lacertidae. The record is from the annotation of a GenBank genome assembly.
GAGCUCAGUCCGAAGAGCAUGAGACUCUUUAUCUCAAGGUAAUGCGUUCGAGCCCCACGUUGGGCA